RNAcentral lists this ribosomal RNA (468 nucleotides) under uncultured bacterium. RNAcentral describes it as "partial 16S ribosomal RNA". It matches the Rfam family "Bacterial small subunit ribosomal RNA", at positions 28 to 507 of the family's 1533-position model. The record is from RNAcentral.
GACGAACGCUGGCGGCGUGCUUAACACAUGCAAGUCGAACGGAAAGGCCCUACUUUUGUGGGGUGCUCUAGUGGCGAACGGGUGAGUAACACGUGAGUAACCUGCCUUUGACUUUGGGAUAACUUCAGGAAACUGGGGCUAAUACCGGAUAGGAGCUCCGGCUGCAUGGCGGGGGUUGGAAAGUUUCGGCGGUUUGGGCUGUAAUCGCGGCUUAUCAGCUUGUUUGUGGGGUAGUGGCUUACCCAGGCGUUGACGGGUAGCCGGCCUGAGAGGGUGAACCGGCACAUUGGGACUGAGAUGCGGCCCGGACUCGUACGGGAGGCAGCGGUGGGGGUUAGUGGACAAUGGGCGGAAGCAGGAUACAGCAACGCCGCGUGCGAGAUGACGGCUUUCGGGUUUUAAACCGUUUUCGCCUAUGACGAAGCGUGAGUGACGGUAAUUGGUAAAGAAGCAACGGCUAACUACGUG